GAAUCAUCAUAUGACUGACGGAAGUGGAAGAAACCACAUGAAGUAUGAUCUUGCUGAGCCGACCGUCUGGGCAAUCUGC
Molecule: non-coding RNA, 79 nt
Filed under: Clostridium sp.
Lineage: Bacteria; Bacillati; Bacillota; Clostridia; Eubacteriales; Clostridiaceae
Description: ZTP sequence
Rfam family: ZMP/ZTP riboswitch aptamer (pfl RNA motif)
About the family: Previously known as pfl RNA. ZMP is also known as AICAR.
Source: RNAcentral